RNAcentral lists this ribosomal RNA (2923 nucleotides) under Klebsiella pneumoniae. Its description in RNAcentral is "bacterial LSU rRNA". It matches the Rfam family "Bacterial large subunit ribosomal RNA". The record is from RNAcentral. Lineage: Bacteria; Pseudomonadati; Pseudomonadota; Gammaproteobacteria; Enterobacterales; Enterobacteriaceae.
GGGUUGUGAGGUUAAGCGACUAAGCGUACACGGUGGAUGCCCUGGCAGUCAGAGGCGAUGAAGGACGUGCUAAUCUGCGAAAAGCGUCGGUAAGGUGAUAUGAACCGUUAUAACCGGCGAUGUCCGAAUGGGGAAACCCAGUGCAAUUCGUUGCACUAUCGUUAACUGAAUACAUAGGUUAACGAGGCGAACCGGGGGAACUGAAACAUCUAAGUACCCCGAGGAAAAGAAAUCAACCGAGAUUCCCCCAGUAGCGGCGAGCGAACGGGGAGCAGCCCAGAGUCUGAAUCAGCUUGUGUGUUAGUGGAACGGUCUGGAAAGUCCGACGGUACAGGGUGAUAGUCCCGUACACCAAAAUGCACAGGCUGUGAACUCGAAGAGUAGGGCGGGACACGUGGUAUCCUGUCUGAAUAUGGGGGGACCAUCCUCCAAGGCUAAAUACUCCUGACUGACCGAUAGUGAACCAGUACCGUGAGGGAAAGGCGAAAAGAACCCCGGCGAGGGGAGUGAAAAAGAACCUGAAACCGUGUACGUACAAGCAGUGGGAGCACCUUCGGGUGUGACUGCGUACCUUUUGUAUAAUGGGUCAGCGACUUAUAUUCUGUAGCAAGGUUAACCGUAUAGGGGAGCCGCAGGGAAACCGAGUCUUAACUGGGCGUUAAGUUGCAGGGUAUAGACCCGAAACCCGGUGAUCUAGCCAUGGGCAGGUUGAAGGUUGGGUAACACUAACUGGAGGACCGAACCGACUAAUGUUGAAAAAUUAGCGGAUGACUUGUGGCUGGGGGUGAAAGGCCAAUCAAACCGGGAGAUAGCUGGUUCUCCCCGAAAGCUAUUUAGGUAGCGCCUCGUGAACUCAUCUUCGGGGGUAGAGCACUGUUUCGGCUAGGGGGUCAUCCCGACUUACCAACCCGAUGCAAACUACGAAUACCGAAGAAUGUUAUCACGGGAGACACACGGCGGGUGCUAACGUCCGUCGUGAAGAGGGAAACAACCCAGACCGCCAGCUAAGGUCCCAAAGUCAUGGUUAAGUGGGAAACGAUGUGGGAAGGCACAGACAGCCAGGAUGUUGGCUUAGAAGCAGCCAUCAUUUAAAGAAAGCGUAAUAGCUCACUGGUCGAGUCGGCCUGCGCGGAAGAUGUAACGGGGCUAAACCAUGCACCGAAGCUGCGGCAGCGACACUAUGUGUUGUUGGGUAGGGGAGCGUUCUGUAAGCCUGCGAAGGUGACCUGUGAGGGUUGCUGGAGGUAUCAGAAGUGCGAAUGCUGACAUAAGUAACGAUAAAGCGGGUGAAAAGCCCGCUCGCCGGAAGACCAAGGGUUCCUGUCCAACGUUAAUCGGGGCAGGGUGAGUCGACCCCUAAGGCGAGGCCGAAAGGCGUAGUCGAUGGGAAACAGGUUAAUAUUCCUGUACUUGGUGUUACUGCGAAGGGGGGACGGAGAAGGCUAUGUUAGCCGGGCGACGGUUGUCCCGGUUUAAGCAUGUAGGCUGAUUGUCCAGGCAAAUCCGGAUAAUCAAGGCUGAGGUGUGAUGACGAGGCACUACGGUGCUGAAGUAACAAAUGCCCUGCUUCCAGGAAAAGCCUCUAAGCAUCAGGUAACAUCAAAUCGUACCCCAAACCGACACAGGUGGUCAGGUAGAGAAUACCAAGGCGCUUGAGAGAACUCGGGUGAAGGAACUAGGCAAAAUGGUGCCGUAACUUCGGGAGAAGGCACGCUGGUGUGUAGGUGAAGUCCCUGCGGAUGGAGCUGAGACCAGUCGAAGAUACCAGCUGGCUGCAACUGUUUAUUAAAAACACAGCACUGUGCAAACACGAAAGUGGACGUAUACGGUGUGACGCCUGCCCGGUGCCGGAAGGUUAAUUGAUGGGGUUAUCCGUAAGGAGAAGCUCUUGAUCGAAGCCCCGGUAAACGGCGGCCGUAACUAUAACGGUCCUAAGGUAGCGAAAUUCCUUGUCGGGUAAGUUCCGACCUGCACGAAUGGCGUAAUGAUGGCCAGGCUGUCUCCACCCGAGACUCAGUGAAAUUGAACUCGCUGUGAAGAUGCAGUGUACCCGCGGCAAGACGGAAAGACCCCGUGAACCUUUACUAUAGCUUGACACUGAACAUUGAGCCUUGAUGUGUAGGAUAGGUGGGAGGCUUUGAAGCGUGGACGCCAGUCUGCGUGGAGCCAACCUUGAAAUACCACCCUUUAAUGUUUGAUGUUCUAACGUUGGCCCCUUACCGGGGUUGCGGACAGUGUCUGGUGGGUAGUUUGACUGGGGCGGUCUCCUCCCAAAGCGUAACGGAGGAGCACGAAGGUUAGCUAAUCCUGGUCGGACAUCAGGAGGUUAGUGCAAUGGCAUAAGCUAGCUUGACUGCGAGCGUGACGGCGCGAGCAGGUGCGAAAGCAGGUCAUAGUGAUCCGGUGGUUCUGAAUGGAAGGGCCAUCGCUCAACGGAUAAAAGGUACUCCGGGGAUAACAGGCUGAUACCGCCCAAGAGUUCAUAUCGACGGCGGUGUUUGGCACCUCGAUGUCGGCUCAUCACAUCCUGGGGCUGAAGUAGGUCCCAAGGGUAUGGCUGUUCGCCAUUUAAAGUGGUACGCGAGCUGGGUUUAGAACGUCGUGAGACAGUUCGGUCCCUAUCUGCCGUGGGCGCUGGAGAAUUGAGGGGGGCUGCUCCUAGUACGAGAGGACCGGAGUGGACGCAUCACUGGUGUUCGGGUUGUCAUGCCAAUGGCACUGCCCGGUAGCUAAAUGCGGAAGAGAUAAGUGCUGAAAGCAUCUAAGCACGAAACUUGCCCCGAGAUGAGUUCUCCCUGAGACUUUAAGUCUCCUGAAGGAACGUUGAAGACGACGACGUUGAUAGGCCGGGUGUGUAAGCGCAGCGAUGCGUUGAGCUAACCGGUACUAAUGAACCGUGAGGCUUAACCUUACAACGCCGAAG